GACGAACGCUGGCGGCGUGCUUAACACAUGCAAGUCGAACGGAAAGGCCCUGCUUGCAGGGUACUCGAGUGGCGAACGGGUGAGUAACACGUGGGUGAUCUGCCCUGCACUUCGGGAUAAGCCUGGGAAACUGGGUCUAAUACCGGAUAGGAGCCAUUUUUAGUGUGAUGGUUGGAAAGUUUUUUCGGUGUAGGAUGAGCUCGCGGCCUAUCAGCUUGGUGGUGGGGUAAUGGCCUACCAAGGCGGCGACGGGUAGCCGGCCUGAGAGGGUGGACGGCCACAUUGGGACUGAGAUACGGCCCAGACUCCUACGGGAGGCAGCAGUGGGGAAUAUUGCACAAUGGGCGCAAGCCUGAUGCAGCGACGCCGCGUGGGGGAUGACGGCCUUCGGGUUGUAAACUCCUUUCGCUAGGGACGAAGCUUUUUGUGACGGUACCUAGAUAAGAAGCACCGGCUAACUACGUG
Molecule: ribosomal RNA, 465 nt
Filed under: uncultured bacterium
Lineage: Bacteria
Description: partial 16S ribosomal RNA
Rfam family: Bacterial small subunit ribosomal RNA
Source: RNAcentral